This 411-nucleotide long non-coding RNA is filed under the name Carica papaya (papaya). Its description in RNAcentral is "long non-coding RNA (CPAP_LNC007000)". The record is from RNAcentral. Lineage: Eukaryota; Viridiplantae; Streptophyta; Magnoliopsida; Brassicales; Caricaceae.
UCUUCACGCACGACACUUUUUAUGAAAUUUAAAUGAAGAAGGGAGGCCUUUGUUACAUAAGGGUGCUACUGAAGAAAUCCCUUCACACAUGACAUUCUCCAUGGAUUUAAAAUGAAGAAGAGAGGCUUCUGUCCUACAAGGGCACUUCUGAAUACUUCCUUUCAUGUAGGAUAUUCCCCUUGGAAUUAGAAUGAUAAAGGGAGGCUUAUGUUAUGUAAGGGCACUCCUGAAAACUUUUCUUCACGCAUAAUAUUCCUUGUGGAUUUGGAAUGAAUAAGGGAGGUUUCUGUCAUAUAAGGACACUUCCAACAACUUCUUUCAUGCAUGAAGGCUUCACUUAACAUGCAAUAUUUCCUGUGGAUUUGGAACGAAUAAGGGAGGCUUAUGUUAUACAAAGACACUCCCGAAGAC